RNAcentral lists this ribosomal RNA (252 nucleotides) under Triticum aestivum (bread wheat). RNAcentral's name for it is "partial small subunit ribosomal RNA". The record is from RNAcentral. Lineage: Eukaryota; Viridiplantae; Streptophyta; Magnoliopsida; Poales; Poaceae.
AGGCGCAACGAUUGGCUGCACUAUGGCGGACAGGGAUUCUCAAUCGACGAGACGCCGGCGAGCAUUGGCUUGGUGGGGCUGGCGGAGAGUGAUGGGGAUGCCGGAGUGGACGUGAAGACGGACAUUGGUUGUUUAUUUACUGAAUUUGGUUCACUUUUGGAUAAGCCAUGCAUCAGCUAUACAUGUAUGUGUGCUAUAAAUCAGCACUAAAACCAUUGGAAAGGGCGGGAGCUUACCUGGCACCACACAGCU